CCCUUAGAUGUCCUGGGCUGCACGCGCGCUACAUUGACACGUUCAACGAGUUUUGCCUGCUCCGAUGGGACUGGGUAAUCUUAUGAAAGCGUGUCGUGAUGGGGAUAGAUUAUUGCAAUUAUUAAUCUUCAACGAGGAAUUCCUAGUAAGUACAAGUCAUCAGCUUGUGCUGAUUACGUCCCUGCCCUUUGUACACACCGCCCGUCGCUCCUACCGAUUGGGUGAUCCGGUGAAUAACUCGGACUGCAGCUAUUCGGGAGACCGUUAGCUUGUGGAAAGUUUAGUAAAUCUUAUCACUUAGAGGAAGGAGAAGUCGUAACA
Molecule: ribosomal RNA, 321 nt
Filed under: uncultured eukaryote
Lineage: Eukaryota
Description: partial 18S ribosomal RNA
Rfam family: Eukaryotic small subunit ribosomal RNA
Source: RNAcentral